GAUCACAGUUAUAUCACCUUGCAGCCCAAGACCGGUUUCUCACUGAAGCUAAGCAGAGCUGAGCCUAUUUAGUGGUUGGAUGGAAGAACACGUGAGAAAACUAGGUUGCUGUUGGAA
This 117-nucleotide ribosomal RNA is filed under the name Danio rerio (zebrafish). Lineage: Eukaryota; Metazoa; Chordata; Actinopteri; Cypriniformes; Danionidae. The record is from RNAcentral.